UCGAGGGGCAGCGGGAAGUCAGCUUGCUGACUUUGCCGGCGACCGGCGCACGGGUGAGUAACACGUAUCCAACCUCCCGCAUACUCGGGAAUAGCCUUUCGAAAGAAAGAUUAAUGCCCGAUGGUAUCUUAAGCACGCAUGAGAUUAAGAUUAAAGAUUUAUCGGUAAGCGAUGGGGAUGCGUUCCAUUAGGCAGUUGGCGGGGUAACGGCCCACCAAACCUACGAUGGAUAGGGGUUCUGAGAGGAAGGUCCCCACAAUGGAACUGAGACACGGUCCAUACUCC
Molecule: ribosomal RNA, 285 nt
Filed under: uncultured Bacteroides sp.
Lineage: Bacteria; Pseudomonadati; Bacteroidota; Bacteroidia; Bacteroidales; Bacteroidaceae
Description: partial 16S ribosomal RNA
Rfam family: Bacterial small subunit ribosomal RNA
Source: RNAcentral